CCUACGGGGAGCUGCAGUGAGGAAUCUUUGUCAAUGGGCUUACGCCUGAACCAGCCCAGUCGCGUGAGGGAAGACUGCCCUAUGGGUUGUAAACCUCUUUUGUCAGGGAGCAACGCCGGCUACGUGUAGCCGGACUGAGAGUACCUGAAGAAAAUGCAUCGGCUGCCUCCGUGUCAGCAGCCGCGGUAAUACGGAGGAUGCGAGCGGUAUCCGGAUUUAGUGGGUUUAAAGGGUGCGUUGGUGGAAUGCCAAGUCAGCGGUAAAAUCGCGGGGCGAAACCUCGCUCCGACGAUGAAACUGGCGUACGUGAGUGAGCGAGAAGUAUGCGGAAUGCGUGGUGUAGCGGGGAAAUGCAUAGAGAUCACGCAGAACUCCGAUUGCGAAGGCAGCAUACCGGCGCCCAACUGACGCUGAAGCACGAAGGCGUGGGUAUCGAACAGGAUUAGAUACCCUAGUAGUC
Molecule: ribosomal RNA, 460 nt
Filed under: uncultured bacterium
Lineage: Bacteria
Description: partial 16S ribosomal RNA
Rfam family: Bacterial small subunit ribosomal RNA
Source: RNAcentral